RNAcentral lists this ribosomal RNA (299 nucleotides) under Crotalus aquilus. Its description in RNAcentral is "partial 16S ribosomal RNA". The record is from RNAcentral. Lineage: Eukaryota; Metazoa; Chordata; Lepidosauria; Squamata; Viperidae.
GCUGACCAAACAACAAACCACAAAUAUACCCUACUGAAUUAAACAAAUCAUUUGACCAGCCCAGUAGAUGCGAUCGAACAGUCACAAGUCACAACAAAGUACCGCAAGGGAACCACCAUCAAGCAACAAACAGCAAAGACUAAUCCUUGUACCUUUUGCAUCAUGGUUUAGCAAGACCACAGGACAAGAAGAAUCACAGCCCCCCGCCCCGAAACCGAACGAGCUAUUUUUAAGCAGUCUAACGGACGCCCCCUUCUUUGUAGCAAAAUAGUGGGAAGACUUAAAAAUAGAGGUGAAAA